UAGCCGUAAACGAUACUCGCUAGGUGUCGGCCACGGUGCGACCGUUGUCGGUGCCGUAGGGAAGCCGUGAAGCGAGCCACCUGGGAAGUACGGCCGCAAGGCUGAAACUUAAAGGAAUUGGCGGGGGAGCGACCACAACGGGUGGAGCUUGCGGUUUAAUUGGAUUCAACGCCGGACAACUCAACCAGGAGCGACGGUUACAUGAAGGCCAGGCUGAUGACCUUGCCUGAUUUUCCGAGAGGAGGUGCAUGGCGUAGUCGUGU
RNAcentral lists this ribosomal RNA (263 nucleotides) under uncultured archaeon. RNAcentral describes it as "partial 16S ribosomal RNA". It matches the Rfam family "Archaeal small subunit ribosomal RNA", at positions 748 to 1009 of the family's 1478-position model. The record is from RNAcentral.